This 505-nucleotide ribosomal RNA is filed under the name uncultured Glomeromycotina. Its description in RNAcentral is "SSU rRNA". It matches the Rfam family "Eukaryotic small subunit ribosomal RNA", at positions 569 to 1077 of the family's 1831-position model. The record is from RNAcentral. Lineage: Eukaryota; Fungi; Glomeromycota.
AGCAGCCGCGGUAAUUCCAGCUCCAAUAGCGUAUAUUUAAGUUGUUGCGGUUAAAAAGCUCGUAGUUGAAUUUCAGGCCUGGCUGGACGGUCCGCCCUUCGGGUGAGUACUGUCUGUGGUCGGGUCCUACCUUCUGGCGAAGCGUCAUGGCCUUAACCGGCCGUGGCGGGGAACCAGGACUUUUACUGUGAAAAAAUUAGAGUGUUCAAAGCAGGCAAAUCGCUUGGAUACAUUAGCAUGGAAUAAUGGAAUAGGACAAUGGUUCUAUUUGUUGGUUUCUAGGACCGUUGUAAUGAUUAAUAGGGAUAGUUGGGGGCAUUAGUAUUCAAUUGUCAGAGGUGAAAUUCUUGGAUUUAUUGAAGACUAACUACUGCGAAAGCAUUUGCCAAGGAUGUUUUCAUUAAUCAAGAACGAAAGUUAGGGGAUCGAAGACGAUCAGAUACCGUCGUAGUCUUAACCAUAAACUAUGCCGACUAGGAAUCGGGCGAUGUUGAAAAAAUGACGC